This 28-nucleotide small RNA is filed under the name Bombyx mori (domestic silkworm). RNAcentral's name for it is "piRNA piR-bmo-1303659". Lineage: Eukaryota; Metazoa; Arthropoda; Insecta; Lepidoptera; Bombycidae. The record is from RNAcentral.
UAGAAUUAAGUACUGCCUCGACUCGAGU